This 282-nucleotide ribosomal RNA is filed under the name Staphylococcus aureus. RNAcentral's name for it is "partial 23S ribosomal RNA". It matches the Rfam family "Bacterial large subunit ribosomal RNA", at positions 2119 to 2400 of the family's 2925-position model. The record is from RNAcentral. Lineage: Bacteria; Bacillati; Bacillota; Bacilli; Caryophanales; Staphylococcaceae.
GAAAUUCGGCACAGCUUGUACAGUAUCGGUAGGAGCCUAUGAAACGUGAGCGCUAGCUUACGUGGAGGCGCUGGUGGGAUACUACCCUAGAUGUGUUGGCUUUCUAACCCGCACCUCUUAUCGUGGUGGGAGACAGUGUCAGGAGGGCAGUUUGACUGGGGCGGUCGCCUCCUAAAAGGUAACGGAGGCGCUCAAAUGUUCCCUCAGAAUUGUUGUAAAUCAUUCAUAGAGUGUAAAGGCAUAAGGGAUCUUGACUGCGAGACCUACAAGUCGAGCAGGGUC